Molecule: non-coding RNA, 107 nt
Organism: Solanum tuberosum (potato)
Lineage: Eukaryota; Viridiplantae; Streptophyta; Magnoliopsida; Solanales; Solanaceae
Source: Rfam
AUUCCAUGAGUUGGGCACUGCUGUAAUAAUUCCUUAAAUCUUGGCCAUAACUCAUGAAAAGUCUCACCCUCAAUUUGAUUGAAAGUUAGGAUGUUAUCCCUGAGAAU